AUGAAUUAUUUGAUCCAGAUUUCGUCCCAAAGCACGUAGGUAGCGAAACAACAAUAGGCAGAAGUAGAAGUAUAGAACUUAUAGCCAAAAGUAGCGACACGAUCCAAAUAACUAGAUUCCUCACGCGAUAUCUGUCGCCCACAUAUAACAAUAGCGGUAUAAAUAUAUGCUGAAUGCCACAAAGAUUUGUAAUCCCAAUUUGCUGUGAAUUUAAUCCAAACUGUUUCAUGAAUACAUGAGAAAAUUCUUCAUAAACCGAGGCACUAGACGCCGUGAAAAAAUACCACUUAAGAGCGAUUGAUUUAAUGUCGAAUAUUGCCAUAACCUGAGAACCUGCAUGCACCAACACUUUACAGUUGAAUGCCUU
Non-coding RNA from Paramuricea clavata, 367 nucleotides. Lineage: Eukaryota; Metazoa; Cnidaria; Anthozoa; Malacalcyonacea; Plexauridae. The record is from the annotation of a GenBank genome assembly.